AUUCCCCCCCCCCCCCCCAGUUCUUUCGUCAUCAAGAGCUUUUGCUCAGUUUGGAACUACCUUCUCUGCCAAGGGUCACCAAAGUCAGAUGCAGUAUGGCACCCGGCUGGCUGGUAACAUAAAUGUCACAAGCAGGCCAAGUGGAAGGCAGUUGUUCAACAGCUUGUAUUGGGCCCAAGAAUGACCCCUAUCUAGUUAUACUAGCUAAGUGGUUCUCAAGUUUUACCGGGCAUCUGCAUCAUGUGGAGAGCUAGUGAAAACACAGAUUGCUGGGUCCCACCCCCAGAGUUUCUGAAUCAGUAGAGAGUCAGGAAUUCUGAUGAAUAAUUCUGAUGCUCCCGGUAAUUCUGAUGCUGCUGGUCUGGAGAGCCAUUCUACUUUGUAAUUUUAACUCAUUGCCCAGGCCAAACAAGACAGCUUGCAGGCUGUAGGCCUCUUCCUAGCAGAGGUCAACAUCCUACCCUGGCCACCUUCUGAAUGGUGAAGACCUGCCUUGGGAAGGCUUGACAGUUUGGAGGCUCCUACUUUUGGCCCAAGAUAGUGUCAGGAACUCCUCUUGGCUCAGCCACUGGAACCUCCUCCGUGUUGGUUACCCAUGUUUCGUUCUACUGGGCCUCUUGAAUAAGAUGACACUACUGGGCUGGAGGGCAGAGCUCAGAGUGUUGGGAGAAUGCACAAAGACACUGAGCCUUUGACCCUUUAGCUUUGGGAGCAUUUCCUGUUUGCACUCUGUGCCUGCCGGUGGGGGGGACUCAGGCAACAAAACAUGACCCUUCCCGUAGAGGAUCCCCUUGGGCCUCUCACCACCCCCUGCCUGCAUUGCCCGUCUGUCCAUGAUAAAGGCUGUCCUCCGCAGGGCAGAGCACAUUUGUCUCUUUUAAUGUAUAUUUAAAAGGUAUUGAUAGCCAAAAGGGCCGGGGGGACCCAUGCACAGCCCUGCCUUGGCAGCUGGCAUUUUCCCGUGUAAAGGCUUCUUUCUCCUUCGCUCCCAGAAGGCCAGACCAGGAAAGGGCCUUAAAGGUCAUGCGACCCAAACCCUUGAGGCCAGAGAGGGAGGUAAGGGUCACAGGGUCACUACCUCAAGCAGGGGCAGAGUUAGUCCUGGGACCCUGGUCUUUCUUACUGGUGCAUCUUGCCAAUUCAAGGACAUACCUAUGUAUGAGGUACGUGCAUAGGUAGAGGUACAUACAUACCUGGAGGUCUCAGUACCUUGGCUUUUUCUUCUUUCUCUUUAGUGUUUUCACCUCCACCCCAGCACCUGCCCCUGACGCUCCCUCUGCUUCCUCUCAGCUGCCCCGCCCUUCCCCCCAGGCCCUUGUGCCUCACUUCUUGAGUUCAUCCUGCCUGAGCAGGACAUUUCCUCGCGGCCUCUGACUCGGUCUUUCCUAGGGCAAUAGAGUGAAACUGUCACGCAGGCCCUGACGUCCUACCUGGAACAAACACUUGGCUUUGCGUAUCAGCCUGGUGGCCUGGGUCUGUGGUCCCAGACGAAUUCUUAGUUAUUAAUCCCCUGCACCCUGCUCUCCAGCCACCUGCUGCUGGCCUGUUGUCUCCCGCGCUGCUGUACCUCUAGGCUGUGCACAGGGCCUGAGAUGUAAUUGGGACUCAGUGCGAUUGUGGAGUCAUAAGUGGGUGCAUAGAUAUGCUUUGUUCCUUCCCUUGAUUUGGAUUUGGGUGUCUUCUUGGGAACUCCAAAUCCGACCUUACAGGGACUCAUGCUUGAGCGAGUGACCCAUGUCAGUGGGAUCUUAGGCCCUUAGGAGGCGGCCUGUGCCACAGGGUCCCUUUCUCCAGGCCCCACCUAACCUUCAUUUGUGGCACACUGACUAAUGCCAGGCACCUGCUAAGUGAUUCACACCCAUUGUUGAUUCUCUCAGCAGCCCCUGAGAUGGGUAGGGCCAUCUUUAUUGGUGUUGAGAGGUUGAGGGACUUUUAAGGGUCUUGCCUUAACUAGUCCUCGGCUCCCUCCCUUCCUUGGCUUUCUGGAGGCUGUUCUUGAACUGAGGCUUGAGACAGUCACUUCCUUCUGGUCUGGAGGGGUAAACAGAGGCAAAUCACCCCACGUGGAAGGAUCUGGCCCUAUCUGGGGACUGGGCUGUCUCACCCCUCUUCCCAGGCCUACAGCCGGCCUCUGGCGGGCGGGCCUGGGCAUGACGGUGCCCCUGCUUGGCAGGGGAGCGAAUCCGUCACCAGGGCCAUCCUACAGCCGCCUUCCCUGAACGAGUCUGUGCAAUUCCAUGUCACUUCACACUCCUCCUCCUGAGGUCUUCUCAUCGUAGCCAGAGUUCUCAUGUCGUCAGUUUAGCCUAACAGCGUGUUGGAAAGGUGAACCCCAGAUGCCUCAGGGUGCGCCCCUGCUCCCUUCUGCCCUUCCCACCCUCCCCUCUACUGCCGCCUCUCCUCGGAAACUUCCCUAGGUCAGGGCAGUCACACACAGCUGUCCCCUGUCUUUGUCCGGGGGCUCUGGUGUUUGUUUGAGGCUCUGGAUUGAUGCUCACAGACCAAUGUUUUUGGUGCCAGGGAAGUGCUGAUACUUCCGCUUUGCUGAGUUGCACGGUCCUUGUUCCGGGCCCCCCUUCGAGCUCCCCCUCCUCAUCUGUGUUUGCCGGCACAGGAGCUCGUGUUCCCAUCAGAUGAGUCAGGGGAGAGAUCUUGGAAGAGUAAUUAAUUUGAGCAGAUGCGUGUCAGUGUCCUAGGAAAUACAAGAUGUCGGUACAAACCACCUGUGCUUGCUCUGACCGCAGAGCUCCAGGAAUGCAGGUGGGCCCCUCUUUAGGAAAACCCACUAGGUCAAGGCCGUUUGCAUCAUCAAAAAAAAAAAAAAAGUCACUUUACAGAAGGAUUUGCUGCUAGGUUCCUUAAAAUUGGAGCUCUGUUAGUUUAUGUAACUGGUUUACAGGUCAUUAAGUACUUGACAGAGAGGCUUUAGGGACCGAAAAACUUUAUGUUCGAGCUGAAGAACCAGUGCCAAUUACAGAUUCUUCAGAAAUGAAGCAUCUCAGAGAUUGUGCGUAAGCCCUUGGGGACAUGCUGUCUGGCUCGCCAAAACAUGGCCGCACUCACCCUUUUAGAGAUGGUUGCCGGGGAUUCCUACAGAAAUGUACCUGUUUUUCUUUAAUGAUGGACCCUGCGCUACUUUCCCGAUUGAUCCCCCCCUCAGCGCUACAUCCCCUGGAGGCUCUUAGGGGUGGGAAUACCCCGCUGAAAAUCAGGGUUCAGUUCCUGACCUUAGAAGAUUUUCCUGUAGUCUCCUGCUUCUCUAGUAGAUUCCCGCUCUGCUGCCCAAGGCUCCCUUGCUUACCUUCUCUCACUUCGGACCUCCCUGCUCCCCUCCCACCCCCCCCUCAGGCCGAGCCCAGCAUCUCUCCGCAGAGGAUGCGGACCAGAGCCUGCUCCAGCUCUGCCCCUCUUCCUGGCCAUGAGCGGAGUCGUUGGCACACUGGGCCCAGCUCCCUCACCUCCCAGUCACUCUCCUGCCCGCUUCAGUCUGACCUCUGUCCCCACCUCCCCUCCCCCCUGGGCAGGUCACCGGUAGCUUUCAUGUGGCCCGGUCCUCCCACGGACCCUUUGCUCAUCUUGGCUUCUCAACAGCAUUCGGCACCCUCUUCUGCUUGGAGACACUUUUUCCAGGCUCUGGACACUGCACUCCCCUGGCUCCCUUCCCACCCCCCCCUUGUGCUUGUUCCUCCUUUCCUCUUGUCUAGAUAUCGCUUCUGCGCUGUUCUUGCUAGGUGAGCACACCUGUUCCCAGGCACUAAAUACCAUCUAUACAGAUGACUUCCAGAUUCCUCUCUUGAGCUCUGAUCUUGCAGUUCCUUCCGUGUCCUUGGAUUUCUCAUUCAAAUGUCCUACAGGUAUCGCAAAUGUGUGUGUGUGUGUGUGUGUGUGUGUGUGUGUAUAUAUAUAUAUAAUCCCCCAACAACCCAAAUGCUUGAUUUCUUUCCCCAAAUCUGUUUCUCCUUCAAUCGUCCCCUGUCUCACGAAAUGGCGUCCAGCAGUUUGCAAUGCCAGAAACAUGGGUGUCAUCUCUGACUUCUCCCAUCUCUCACCUCCCAUCUCCUAUCCCGUCACGUCCAGCCGGGGUACCUCCCGCAUGUGUCUCGAAUUUAUGCCAUCUCCCCUACCACCCAUCAGUCCAGGCCACCAUGUUCUUUCCUGACCUAGGACAGUAGCCUCCUCCUUGGUCUCUCUACUUCCGCGUUUGCUUCCUGUCCUUCCCUUAGCACGGCAUUUUAAAAACAUAGGCCAUUUCAUGUUACUCCUCUGCUUAAAACCCUUCAGUGGUUUUAAGGAUAAUGAAUAAAAUCCCGACUCCUUGCUGUGCCUUAUGAGGCUCUGUAUGAUCUGGCCCAUCCUUGUAAUUAUCCAGCCUCAGCUUGUGCCCUCUUCUUGAUUUGGUUGUCCUCCAAACAGCCAUUUCCUCUUUCCUCCCCUCUUCCAUUGGAGCAGAAGCCUGAUUGUGUUCACACAGAGGGGAUUUUUUCCACGAAAGUGGUGGUGGUAUUUUCAGGGGAGAUGAGCCCUUCCCUCCACCUCCGUGCCAGGAGGGGGAUCAUGGUAAGGCCAUGACUUCAGUGCCAGUGAUUGGUUUCAUGGCGGGUGUGUGAUUGGUUCUGUGCCUUGGGACUCAGGGAAAUGUCUACCGGCAGCUUGUAGGAAAGGCGGGAGAUUUGUGCAUGGAGUUGUUGCCUCCAUGGCACCCUUCCUGCUUCUCAGAUGCUGGGUGAGGAUGUGGUCCUGGACACCAUGAGGCGAGACGCUGCCAGUGCCGAAGGGGUACAGAUGGGGGAGCAGGUCCUCGAAGACAUGAUUAAACUGCAGAAUCCAGCCUGUAAUCAACAGUCUCCUCUUGAGUGGGAUAAUACAUGUCUUUACGGUUCCGGCCACUUUUCGGAAGGCUUUCUGUUGCUUACAACUGAACCCAUCCUCACUGAUACUCUUCCUCCACUAGCUGUGUCAGCCCUUGGGCAGGCCACGCUCUUUCCUGCCCCAGCAGGUUUGCACAUACUGUCCCCUCUGUUUGGAUCCUCUCUACCUGGUCGUGGCCAGCGCGUUGGGUCCCACGUUGCCUCCCCAUCCAGAUUUUCCUGCCCCUGUUGUUUCUUUGUCUCUGCUCUGAUGAGUUUCGUUGGUAGCCUCUAGCACAUUUUGAUAGUAUUUCUUGUGUUUUACUCUUUUCUUCCCGUCUAGACUGUGAGCUCCAUACGGGCGGAGACCGUGUCUCUUGUAUGCUACUUUGGCCCAGCCGCCAUGUACAGUACAUCACGGAGAGAAGGUCCUCAGCUCCUGUGUUCACUGAUCGCGUGAAUGGAAGAACAGUCUGAUCCAUGCUAAUUCUCCCACCUUUGUCUUCUGCUACUCAGUGACAUCUCACACUUUGUACCCUAGCUGUACUGCCCUAUGAUAUUAUAGUUUCUAGAAUGUUCUCUAGUCUCUUUCUCUCUAGACCUCUGCAUGUGCCUGGCACAGAUCUUUCUUCUUCUCACGGAUACUCCCAACACUUCCGUAGGUCUUGGCUGAGAUGCAACCUCUUCCCAGAGCUUCCCUCCCCAGACCAUGUUCUUCCAGGAUGUUGUUCUGACCCAACAGAGCCCUUACUGGUUACCACCCUGGUAACCAGUAGACAUAAGACAAUGUGGUACGAGAGGAAAAGGGAAAUUGCGGCUCUGGAUGAGUCCCUCCUCAGCGGCCUCCGUGCGAUGCCCCCAAAGUCGUGCUGUAGCCCAAUUAGAAACCUGCUUGGCUUUUAGGAGCCCGAGUGCCUGCCGACGAAGAUUCCUAUUCUGGGCCCUAAUUACCGCUUGAUGGAAUGAAUAAAGACAUUGUGUUUUCUGCAUUUUA
Felis catus (domestic cat) is the source of this 5841-nucleotide long non-coding RNA. RefSeq lists it as uncharacterized. The transcript has 2 exons. The record is from RefSeq and is a predicted model, not a curated record. Lineage: Eukaryota; Metazoa; Chordata; Mammalia; Carnivora; Felidae.